CCCUUUUUUUACAAAAACAUGUCUUAAUGUUUUAUUUAUUAAGUCUGGCCUGGCUCAAUGAUUAUUAUUAAAUAGCCGCAGUAUAUUGACUGUGCGAAGGUAGCAUAAUCAUUUGUCUUUUAAUUGGAGACUUGAAUGAAUGGUUUUAUGAGGGAACAUCUUUCUUUAUAUUAAAUUUUGAAUUUAAUGUUUGUGUUAAAAAGCGUAAAUUUAUAAAUGGGACGAGAAGACCCUAUAGAAUUUUAUUUUAUAUAUAAUUAUUUGAUCUAUUGGUUUAUUAUUAGAUAUAAUUUAAUUUAGAAUUUUGUUGGGGCGACAUUGAGAUUUUUUUUACUCUCAUAUUUAAUUUUUUAUUAAUUUUUAUAUUUAGGAUCCUUUAUUUAUGGAUAUUUAGUUUAAAUUACCUUAGGGAUAACAGCGUAAUUUUUUUGGAGAGUUCUUAUUGAUAAAGAAGUUUGCGACCUCGAUGUUGGAUUAAAAUUAGAUUUAAGUGCAGAAGCUUAAUUUUCUAGGUCUGUUCGACCUUUAAAUUUUUACAUGACGGGUUUUAAACCC
RNAcentral lists this ribosomal RNA (555 nucleotides) under Gonopsis sp. MRCPEN286. Its description in RNAcentral is "partial large subunit ribosomal RNA". The stretch from base 411 to 555 matches the Rfam family "Bacterial large subunit ribosomal RNA", at positions 2473 to 2619 of the family's 2925-position model. Lineage: Eukaryota; Metazoa; Arthropoda; Insecta; Hemiptera; Pentatomidae. The record is from RNAcentral.